CUCUCGGCUUGCCUUCCCGCCUCCCCGCCCCCUCCCGCUUAACGCGCCACCCGGGGGCGGGUGCCGGGGUAGUGCAGGGGGACGCGCGGCUGCAGGUGACCAAGCAGCGCCGCCACUUCCCGCCUGCUCGCCGGCAGGCGCGGCCGCAGCCAUCGCGACUGUGCAAACGGAGCUCGCUCGUCAGUGGGAAGGGGACGUUCCUAAUCCCAGUGUGCUCCCGCUCCCGCCCCCCGGUCCCGCCGCGCUGAGGGAGCCGCGGGUCUCUCUUGCUUUUUCUGUUCGCCUGCCCCGCGAGCGGGGCGGCCCGGGGCCAUGGAGCGCGCGUUCACGCCGCUGGACUGCCUCCUGCCCGCCGGAAACCUGAAGUUUUGCCUUCUGAUUCUGAACCAGCCUUUCAACAAAGGUCAUUUUCAUUGCCUUUGGAGCAAAGUGGUGCCUGGAGAGGGCCUACAAUGUCCCAGUCACUCUGCACUGAGAGCUUGUGCUGAUGGUGGUGCCAAUCGUCUCUAUCACAUCACAGAAGGAAGCCAGGACAGCUUCUUGCCUGAUUACAUCAGUGGUGAUUUUGAUUCCAUUCAGCCUGAAGUCAAGGAGUACUACAAGGUCAAGGGAUGUGAGUUAAUUGACACCAUGGAUCAGGACUUCACAGAUUUCACGAAGUGCCUUCAGAUACUCCAGAAAAAGAUAGAGAAGAAGGGCCUCCAGAUCGACAUGAUUGUGACUUUGGGCGGACUUGGAGGACGCUUUGAUCAAACAAUGGCAUCAGUGGAAACGCUUUUUCGUGCAACAAAUAUCACUCCUGUUCCAGUGAUACUUAUCCAGGAGUGCUCACUGGUUUACCUGCUUCAACCUGGCAAGCACAAGCUGCACGUGGACACGGGACUGGAAGGCCCCUGGUGUGGCCUCAUCCCCAUCGGGAACUCCUGUGAGAGCGUGACCACGACAGGCCUCAGGUGGAACCUCGGCAGGAAGUUAAAUUGCUGUAAAAUGCCACCAUUCAAAAGAGCGCCACUGUCAUUUCACUGCAAAAGGCAAUAACAAUAACAACAGGAGCAAGACCUUUCUCUGACUGUAGUAACAGAGCAUCCACUGACUACUAACUUCACAGGUAGAUAAACAGGAUCCAAAAUCUUUUUGAUGCUGUUUAUAUUGUUAGUAAAAUUGCAAUGCUUUCACUGUUUUAGUGCAUUGGGGAUUUUUUGAUGUUACAUUGUGAAUGGAACAAAAAGACUGCAAAAGCGGUAGGGUUUUAUGUCUUAGGAGAAAUGCAGAGUCAGAUAAAAGAAAAUUAGUAACUCCUUAAAAAUAGUUAGAGGAUGAGGGACUGUUCUGGAAAAGGCUGUAAAUUAGGACAAUGGACAGGUAUCUGUGUGCUAGCAAAGCUUUUUGUAUAAGCACUCUGUAACCUUUUUUGUAACUGAAGUAGUUUACAUGGCACAUUUUGCUGCCCUAGUUCAUUCUGACUGAGGCAAACUGAGCGGCGCUCCCAGGAGUAGCUCUGUUUUCAGUGGCAGAGUAAAAAGCUUCACAGCUGGAUUCCCCUGUCCUGCUGUCUCCUCCAUGCCUCUCUUCUCACAUUCUUUGCUGGAAGAAGACUCCCAGUACAUCAACUGGGAGUAUCUUCACAGCCUCAGUGAUGUAUUUUUUCCCUUGUUAAAGCUCUAAGACCCUGGGUUGGGUGGGGUGACAGAAAUGACACUGCUCCUCGCAAAGCUUCAGGCAUUUUUGACCUAUUCCAAGCCAUUUGCCUGCAGGAGUGCUGCUGUUUACCUUCCAGAGUCACAUCAUUUAUUACAAGGCAAGGCCUGCUGAAAUACUUUUCCUAUAAAGCAGAUGUUCUGAUGGUGGCAGCCUGGCAUCCCACUGCUUUACUGCAAGUCAGCAAAAGCAACAAUGAGGGCAGUGCUUAGCAUUGCAUGAAAUGAUUUUGAACCAAAAAGACUAUUUGGCAUACAUUAAAGGACUGAUGAACCCAGAGCUCAGUUGUGCUAGGCCCCUAAAGCUGUUUUUAUCUUUUUUUCCUGAACAGCAGCUUGAAAACUCAGUCAAACUUUGUGAAGGGACUCGAGAUGGGUAUUUGAUGUCACACGUUCAGUCCAUUUCCACAGAUUUCAAUGAAUGUUUGGAAUUGGUGGGAGGGAGAUUUGGUUCCAGCUCUUCUGUAGCUGGGUAGCAGAGUCCUGGCAUUCAGUUUAGAAAGGCUGCUUUAACGUGAUAAACAGAUACACUCUUCCAGAUCACACUGCUGAGGCAACAUUACUGCUGUAGGACUCCAGUUAUGGAAAGAUUCAUGCAAGUACCAUGUGGACUAGCUCAAACCGCUUCAAGGGCUAAGUUUAGCCCAGCUGGAUGGCCAUCUUCAACAGGACAUAGGGAGUGUAUGUAUGAUACUUCCAUACAGUAGUGUUAGGCAGUAAUGGCCAUGAACGGGUAGAAUAAAAUCACCUCAGAGAGUCUUCUCCAGCACAGUUGUGCACAAAGCAGAUGGCUCUCUGGAACCAUCCUGAAGUGAACUGGAGAUGCUUAUUUAUGUCUAGCUACUUUGCCAUGGCACACUGCAACUAUGGGAACUAAUUUCAUUAUUAAUAUCAAGGUGAGAAGGUUGUCAAGAGAGCAAAAUGCUGCUCUUUCCCUCGAAUCUCCUAUGUUACUUCAGUCCUUCAUUCUGCUAAUGGAAAUGUGACCUGUAGGUAUGAGGAAAUAAGUGCUCUACUUCAGACCAGCUUUGGUGCAGAUAAUCCUCAUGUUUGUGGUGCCAGUAGAUUGGUAAGAACACUAAAGUCACAUCAAAAUCAGAAGCAACCUGCUGCUGCUGAAGUCUAUGAGUUGUAAGGACCAAAUACCUUUGUGGGGAAGAGAGGGGUCUGCAAAGAGCCAGAGAGUUACCAUUUAGAUUACUGGGGAUUCAGAAUAAUCCUGUGGAUUUCAGCAGUGGAUCUGAAGUUUCAUCAGUGGGUGUGAGGGCAGAAUUUGUGCAAGAAAGAGAUCUUUGAGUUUAUACUAAAGACAUUUAACCCUAAAGGCAUUCUGUUCAGUCAACCUGCCCAUAUGGAUAGUGGGAAGUCCUCUCAUUUAGACAAUGGCAGAAGCAAAGCUUCAAGUACGUAAUGAUGUACUUGAAAGAAAGUCAGUGAAAAACUGACCAGAGUACAAAGGCUCAUUUGUCAUAUCUCUUGCAAAUAUACUUUGUUUUCAUAUUUAAAUGCCCAGAAUCAGUCAUAAUAAAUGUAAAUGUCACGCUGCCAAGAGAUUUCCAAAAACAAGGAAGCUGUGAUGCAUGUGGUGAGUUAUUGCCAGUUCCCAACGUUUCUGUAGAACCACAAAAGGGCAAGGACCAGAAGGAGGACAAAUCAAUCAUGUCUGGCUAGAGUCUCUCAGAGUUAAAAAGUGACAUGCGCUUGUCUGUGAUGACUCAGUUAAUGGACAAGUGUACUAUUUAGAUUUUUGGGGGGUUGUUCAAGUAGGUAGGUGUUACUGUUAAGAAUUUACUCCUCCUUUUCAAUUCAUUUACAGACCUUUUAGUUCUAUUUAUUUUUAGCACACACUGGUGUGCAUGAUUGAUCUCUUCUCCCCGGAAACAUGACACUGAGGGAAAUUAUUUCCUCUGUGGUGAUCUAUUCCUGUACCUUAAUGGCAAACAGUUCUGGCUAGUCCCUCUGUUGUGUCUCAAUUCUUCAUUUGCUGCUCCGUUUAUAACCACUUGGCACAUUGUUUGAGGGGGCCUUGCUCUCUCCAGUUUUUGCCUCUGGAUGUUUAUGGAAGAGGUGGAUUUUUCCUUGCUGUUGUAUGAAGUUCUCAAGAGGACUAAAAUCUCAUGACUUUUGCUGUACAGUUCUUAUUGUCACUGACUUUUACAGUAUGCUUCUAAAAAGUUAUGUUUUGAUUGUAAGUUGUUUAUGACAUCCUGAUAUGUAAUUAAUUAGCUGUUAAAAACUGGCUGUAGUAACUGUUCUGGAAAUACUAUUUUUUGAUGUACAUACCAAUGACAGAUCACUAAGCAAAUCUGUUCUUUUCAGGUGAGUUGGAAAAUACACAUAUCUGAUAGAUGAACACAUGUCUUGCUGUAGAAGUAGCUGUGGCUUCUUUUGGGGCAGUAAAUACAUGUGGGGCAGUCAGGGCGACAGCGGGAAGAAAAAGAAGAGAAAGUGGGAAAACUGACAUGUUAGGAGGUUGCAUUUGGGUUUAGAAACAUGUUUUGGAGAGAAGAAAGGGCAGAUAACAUGAAAAUGUGGGAAGAUAUGAAUACAGAGAUUGAGACAAUAAGAACAGAGGUGUUUUAAGUAGACAGUUGACAUCUUCCCUUUUGAAGCACUGAACUGAGGCCAAUAUUUCUGUCUUGUUAUUUCUCUGCUGUUAGCAGUCUCCUUCGUUUUUCACUGCUGUCAAGGCAUAAUAACCUACUUCUACUGUCAGUAAACCGGUCAACUCAAGUGAUGCGGGCCUGUCCACCCAUCUGCCUGGGUCUUGAUCCAACAGUAAAAGAUGGCAUUAGACAUUUGAUUUGAAAACAAGAAGGAAGACUCUUUACUUGCACUCUUGUGGCUACCAAUUCAAGACUCUGAAAUCAGGAAAAACCAGAAACAGAGAAAUAAAAGUAAGUAGUUUUUUUGGGAUGUAAUGAUGCUUACAGAUUCAGGACACCGGCAUCACUCAGUGUGCCAGGUGUAUUCUCUGGGGGUUAAUCAGGAGCCGUAGCUGAAGGUGCAGAUGUGUACAACCUCAGCCCCUCCCACUGCAGAAACUGAGACACUUGGGAGGAAUGAGGUGAAGUACUUCUGAAAUGGGGGAUUUUCUUGUGGUUCAGGCAAUUGAUUGUCCGGAGUUUUUACUCUGUGCAAGUAUUUUAGCUACUUGCAAGUUAGCUGUUGAUUUGUCUUAGUGCUCAAGCUGAGCUCUCAGCACUCUGACAUUCCUCUGAGCUCUGCUGUGGUCCUGUAAAGCAGAAUACUCCAAAAUGAAAGCUGUGGUAUUGUCUUUAAGAUACCCGCUUUUGAUGUUAAUGAUGUUAACAGUUUAACAGGUGCAAUGGUAUUAUCAAUUCUGUUGUAAUGAGCAAUACACAGAAGCCCGUGGGGAUUUAACAUGCAUGCAUUCAAUGCAAUUUAAAUCCAUGCAGUAUAUAAGGCAUAAAGCCCUAUGACGAAUCAGGGCUCAACGUGUGUCAGUUAAGAGAAUACUAUUAAUAUUUACUGAAAGCAUGUGGCCUCCUUGGUUAAUGCCACUGUAUAAUUAAAGGAUGAAAGCUAAAGAACCAGAAAUAAAAUUUCACAGCCAAACUUUAAUUUUGGUAUCCCAUUGCUCUUUAGUCCAUGACUUUGCAGCCCUAGCAUUUCUUAAGAUUCAUCUUCCAUGUGUUUUGUAUCCCAGGGAACGUGGGUCCAUUUACUAUUAACAGGUAGCUGUAUGUACCAUGCUACAUUGUAUCCAUACAAGUCUAGGUCAGUAUGUGGUAGCUGAAGUUCCUGUGUUAUCUACAUUUUGAAGCUUUUCCUUGUAUUUAAAAGGAAAAUAUUUAUAAAAACAAUGAAACGUUUCAAACAAGUCCAAAUAUUUUUAGUAUGUUUUAAGUAGGUGGUGAUACAUGUCACAAAACAAGAGUAAAUUGAACUAAAUAGGGGUGGGAUGGAUGUCAAGAGAUCUUACAAUCCGUAUAGCUUUCCUAUGGCAUCAUUCCUGAAAAACCUGAAAAAAGGUAACUCUAUUAUAAACUUUCGGCAUUGAGGGUUCCUUCAUAACAGCUUUUUCAGAAAGUCUGCUCCAAUUAGAAAUUUUCUUUCCUUUCUGUAUACUGUGGAUACGGUAUGUGAUAAAUAUAUUCUCAUGCUGUUAAGCAUUAGGACAGAGUAUUUAUAAUAUAAUUGCCAAUACAAAAUCUCAGAAUUGUACAUUUAGGUUUCUCAAAUGUAGGGUAUAACUCUGUAGUUUACAGAGGCACCAUCAAUACCACUCUGUGACUGCUGAUUGGCAUGCCACUUAAUGAUGCUGUUUAUAAGACAAUUUUCUAAUCAGCUGUGUGAACACUCAUCAAGAGUUUGCUUCUUGAUGUAAACCAGAGAAGUUGGAGAGAAAGAUAGGGUUUGUUUUGCUUAUAAAAACAAAUGGGGAAAAAAGCAAGUUAUAAGGAGAACUGUCAGGUUUUGUUUGGUUUUUAUUUUAUUUUUUUCCCAUUUUGUAGAGUAUUGAUAUGGUAAAAAAAAAAAAGGCGAAACACAAUUAUAGAGAGCUUUGAUAUGAAUCUGGAUUAUGCAUUUAAAAGCUCAAUGUAGAAUUAAAAGCUGUGGUGUGAAUGAGUCAAUAUUCUUCAGGGUAUUGCCUUCAUAUAUUUUGAAAUUGAAUGAUGAUAGCUUAAAUGUUAACAUUCUAGUUUUUAACAGGUGUUACAUUUCGAAAAAUUGCUUAAUAAUAAUUAUGUGAUUUGAUAUUGUAGAUAGUCUGUUUGGUCUAGUCAUUUGAAACUGGAGCAUGGUCACUUUUCCAUUCAUUUCACAUGUCAGUUUUAGUUUUCAACCCAAUAAAUGUAGCCAAGCCUCUCUCCCACUCAAGCAAUAAUUAAUUAUUCCAUGCCUUCUUCCUAGCUAUUUCUUUUUUUUUCUUCUGUAAUAGGCAGAAUACCUUUAAUUUUAAAAAUGUUAUAUAAAACACACAUAAGCUGAGUCAAGUGUGUCUGGCCUGGAAACAAUUCAUUAUGUGAUUUAAGAGAUUUUAACAAGAUCAGCCUCAGUUGAACUGCACAAUUUAUUAAUAACUUUGGUACACAAACAUAAAGUACGUCUUCCAAAUAUAUCCCCAGGCAAUCAUUGUGAACCCCUUGUAAACAUACCUUGCCACCCUGUGCUCUGUAUAUUGAAUGUAUGUUAAAGAAUUUAUGUUUUAUGAAAACAUUAGAGCUUAAUACCAAACUUGUGGAAUUAAUCGGAGAAUUGCACCUUGGCUUUGAUAUUAGCACGUUAAUUUUGAGGUGCCUCUGUCCCUUCCUUCACUGAACUAGGGUAAUUUAAGCCUUCAAUUCAUCCAAACAGGUAGGCAUCCAUGUGUUUUCAUGCACAUGACUAGUUCUGGGCAAUAUAAAGCGGGUAAAGUUAAACAAUGUGCAGAAGUACUUACCACAAGUCAAACUCUGCAGCAGGAGAUAUAGCCUUUAAAUAUGCCUGAAAUGGCUUUUCUAUAUGUAAAAUAAGGCAGUAGUGGCUUUAAUCUCAGUCUCUGGGGUUAGCUGUCAGUGCUGGUUCCUAUUCAAAUCUCUCUUCUCACUCACUAAUGCUGUAGAGCUCCCUUUUCUAGCUCUGCACAUUUUUAAUGUAUUGCUGGUCGGCUGUAGUAAUUUACAUGAAUUUCUCCUGAUUUUACUGUUGAAUGUCUGGGCAAAGUAUGAAGACGUGGUAAGACAAAUGACUUUGAAAUAUUUCUUGCAUCUGGCUUCUUUACCCGUAGUUCAAUAGAUGUGGUUUCCCACCAGUACAGCUGUCAGGUCCAUGCAUCAAGUAAUUUUUUCAUGUGAGGAUUCUGGAAAAAAAGCGUUUUGGCUACCGACGAGAAUUUUUAAACAGUCAUAACAUUUCCAUUAAUAUAGCCAAAAGCGUUACAAUAUGCUACAUCUGCAUAGUUGUAAGAAAACGAAACGCUCCAGAUAAUUCAAAUCCACUGUGCUUGAUUCACUCUAUCUUUUUUUUUUUUUUAACAGUGCUAAAAAUUUGCCACACUUUUGUGGCUUUGUCUGCCAUAUGUAAAGCAAGAUUUUCAAUCCACGUUAAAACCAUGUAUGCAGCAAAUGCAACACACUCACCUAGGGAACGGGGAAAAUUUUCCACAUCGUGUAGUGGACUGGAUUGUAUUAAAUACUAACAUCAACAUAAAUCUUAGUUAUACGAGAAUAAUGAAGUAUUUUUCCUUUUUAUUUUAAGAUAUGAAGUGUUGCUGUGUUUAGCUUUUAACAUUCCAAAAGCCUGCAAACUGUUUUUUGGCAAAUACAAAUCAAAAAAGCUGGCAAUACUCUGCAAAACAUUUGCAAGGUACAGUAGAAAGGUUGGUUGAUUCUUCAGAGCUUGUGCAUGCCAGUUUUCUCUCUGCUGCUGCCUUUCGUUACCCUGUGUGUUUAUGGUUCGUGUAGUUCUGGAACAGACCCGCACCAUUUAAGACUUGUCCUGAAUUUUUGGGAGCUCUCCUGCUGGUAGUUAGUUUUAGAUCCCAAAUGUCUCAAGCAAACAUUGUCAGUGAAUCUUCAGAUUAGCUUGUGUUCCUUUUAAUGCCUUCACAAUUUCUUUAGUGCCCCUGCUGAAAUAAUAUCUAAGGAAUUUUACUCACUGUUGUGAAAUCCACUUUUUCCAGUUUAUGCCAUUCUCUAACCUCCCAGGGUAAUGAUUCCCUAUAUGUUUGUCAGUCUUGGUUUUGUGCCCUUGUUUCUUGAAUUUCUCUGCUGAUUUUCUGGCCUACCUGCUCUGAUGCUAUUUUCAACAAAUCCUUCAGAAGUUACUAAUAAUGAAGGCAGUUUAAAAACAAACAAAAAAAAAAAAAAAAGAGACAAAAAACCACCAAACCUUAAUUGUCAGCAUGGCACAGCCCAACUUGCUGAUUCAGUGGGUAGCACACCAGGCUGGGGACCCUGCAGUAGGGUUGGAACACAUAAUUAGCUCUCGUUAGCAUAUUCUCUUCUCCUGCUGUUUGUCUUGUUAACUCUUUGAUGCAGGGACUGUUUGCUACACUGGGUCUGUGCAGUGCACCCCAUCUUGCCAUAGGGGUAAACAUGAUUAAUUGCAAUUGGGAAAUGACGUCUGGAGUUACAGUUGAAAGUUAAUACCACGGAAUGAUUCCUGAUUUUAAAUAAAUGUAUAUUCUGUAUGUGUUAGAGGCUGCAUCUGCAUUAUUAUUCUCAGAAACUGUACUGUGGAAAGAGAAGAAAAUCAUUGUUUAGCAUACAGUGCCACCUACAGAACAGGUUGUGCAGCCUCCAUUUCAUACACUCUGGGUUUUUUUGGUUGUUUUUGUUGUUGGUUUGUUUCUUUUUUUUUGUCACAGCACAGUUGGCAUUCAUGGCUAGAAAGAGUAUUAGAAGCUUUUAGCAGGUGCCAGCAGAACUGGAGGAUGAGCAUGAAAGGUCAAGAGCCUGGGGACCUGGUUGAGCCCUUGCUGAAGUGCUGGGCAGUGGUUCCUGCUCUGUCAGCUGCUGCUGCUUGGCAAGUUGGUUCUGUCACCCAGGAUAAUCAACUGGGAGGUGGUUUGUGUGCUCACUCAGUUCAGCCGUGAUCUGCAAUGUCUGUAGGCCAGGCUUCAUCAACAGCACCCAUUAUUAACUUUCUCUUAGAAGCCUAAAUUGUUUGGGUUUUGUUUUGCUUGGUUUGUUUGGUUUGGGUUUUGUUUCUCUGUUUGUUUUAUUACAACUAUUUCUAGAAACACUACAACUAACUUUUCUACCAAGUGCAUGAUUUACUGCAGUGGUCUGACAGACAUACAGAGGUGGAAAAAGAAGGGAAGGGACCAGAGAGGAAAAAGUCCAUCUAGGAUCACGUCGUGAACAUUACGCAUAGUAAAGCACGCUGUCAACUGUCCUCUCUGUUCAGAGUCAAUUUAAAUGCAGGGGAGAAGUGGAGGGUGUCCUCUCAUGUUGUUACCUAAUCAUAUGCUGUACAGAACAUUGUUCAAUAGCAGUUGUGUGUUUGCAUUGUUCACUGGUUGGAAUAACAGUAUGAGCAUUGUGGGGAGGGGGGUUGGAUUUGAUCCCUCAAAUCUUUACAGUGCUUUUCAGACAAACAUUAGUUUUGGUGCAGAAAGAUGAAUAUGGUAAUAUUUUUUUUAAGACAGAAAAGGCAAAAGAACACACAAAUAUCACUUCUUCUGCUCUCAGGAAUCCAUUAUUUAUGUAAUAUAGCAAAUUAAGUUCUGAUAGUCACUGCAGAACAAAUUGUUGUCUGUCCUCUUUUGUCUAGUUUCUGAAUGUUGGAAGUUAUCUGACCUUUAAGCUGUUACUAGCUCAGGACCCACUGUUUGGCAUCUUCAAAUUAGUGGGGUUGAAAAAGAGAAACAGAAAGGAGGGCUGAGAAUGAAUUCUGACAUCCAGGGCAGAUAUGAAGUAAUUUUCUGGCAGGUGAUCUUGCAGAGGAGAAGGAGGAGGGGGAAAAACAGAGAGAGGCCUUUUUUUUUUUUUUUUUUUUAAUAUAGUUAGAUAGGAAGUUCGAUGUAUUUAAAGUAGCAACAGAGAUAGACUGGGAGGCUGAGUGUUUGAGACAGCUGAAGUUGCGUGUUAAAUAGAGUUUAUGACACUAUUCUGCCAUUUCUCACCUGCACUGUCACAGUCAGUACAUGUGAGUGUGUAGGUGUCUGGGGGUGUAUGUAAAUAAUAAUUCCUCUUUAUUUAAUAUACCUUAAACCUGAAAAGGGACAGAAAUAAGAGUUAGUAGAGUGCUACAAAAUGUGAAAGUAAUUAUGUAGUAGUUAUCCUCAACGUUUCCAUCUUUAAAGUGGUUUUGAACUGCUUAAGUACAGCAGUUACUGCAGACUGUGAUUAGAUAAAUGGAUGCAAAUAGUAAUUGUAACUGAUGAAUGAUUGAUGAUGGUUUUAUAUGUUUAUCAUUAUAUACCGUUGUAAACACUUUCUUCCUCAGCAAGGAUGGAGCCUGUAAGCAAAAUGAUGAUGUAUUGAAUAUGAAUUCAAACUGUAAUAUUUAAAAGACUAUAGAGGGCCGAUAUUGUAGGCUGGGAUAACCACAGAGCUGUUACCGGAGUAACUAGUGAACUUUGCCUUUGGUAUCGACAGGCCAAGCACCAAACUCCUUCCAGUUGAUAUUCAGAGCCUGAAUAUAAGUGCAGCUUGGAAAGUGGGUUAGUAGGAGAGAAUUUGAAAGUGCAGAUGGGGAAGCCGACUGCUGUUGAACAAUGGUUUUGGGUGGGGGAGACCCACUGCUUAACAGAAGAAGGGGAGACACCAUUUCUCAUAAUUCUUCUAAGGCUUCUUCACAGCUCCUGCCUUUUUUCUCAACUUCUCAGUGUCCUGUCUUCUUGAGUUAGAGUCAACCUUUGUGAAUUUCUUCUGCCUUGUAGAUCGUUAAGAUCUACAAGACAUUUACAGUGCAGUAUUUGACAGCCAUGGGAGUGAAAGUUGUACACCCCCAUUGUAAGAGCCAUUUGGGACAGAACAAAUAUGUUUGGAUAUUUGGAAAUUGAUGGGAACAAAGAGACAAACAAGAAUGUCCCCAGAAAAGCAGAGUGGGACAAGAGGUUCGUAUAAUCUGAUGCUAUACUUCUAUUUGAUUUGUCACCUGCCAUUUACUAGUUAUUAAUCACAGUAACAGAUUAAAGGGAUUUUUAUUGCAGCAGCUUGAGUUUAAUAUCAGCUCUUUGUGUAUCAUACAAUGCAAAAAGUAACCUGUGGUAAUUAAAUUACAGGCUAAGGCUUCAUUAUACAUAAAUUCUUCUAUUCACCGAGGAAAAAAAAAAAAAAAGCAGGAUAUUACUAAAGAAAAGCCCCAGAUCAUUAGCAACCUCUGCUCCCUGCUCUGUUCCUUUACAUCACGUGAACUGCAGUGCUGAAAUCUGCUAUUUUUCCUAUGGCAUUGUAGAACUGACAAUGAACUUGCCAGGUAUCCUGUCAUUUGCCUGCCCUUGGUCUUGUAUAAAAGAAGUGAAUUAGGUUCUGUUUUGUUGACCUUUCAGUUGCAAGGGAAAUGGUAGUCCUGUUUGCUUACACAUCAAAUGCUGCCAGGCUGUUGUCUGCAUUAACCUUUGUGGAACACCCUGAUGUGAUUGUUACCUUCUCACCAGCAACACAGGUGCCAGAGAGAAUAGGGAAAGGAUAAAUUAAGGGUACCAUGCAAAGCAGCUCAGCUAAAGACAUUUUUCUCCUGCACUGAAGAAAAGAUAUUCUGUAUGUGUUUAACUACUUAGCUGGUCUGCGAGUCCUGUAAUUUGCUUAGUCAAACAGAACUUCAAAACAGAUGGUUUCUAAAUUUGGGGAAAAUAACCAUUUCAGUAUUUUUUCCCCUGUGCAGACUGCAGUUAUGCUUUAGUACUGAAAUUAUUUGAAAAUUAAACCGGAAAGUAAAAUUGGGGUCUUUACCAACUGAAUACUAAUUUCAGGAACAUACAAUUUUUAGUCUGUGUUAGGUUUUCAUCUGCACAUUUAGCCUAAGAUUUGUUUAUACUUUGAUUUAGUGUUUCUUGCUGCUUACUUGCAUAAACACGGCCAAAUCAGUCAGUCAGAGUCACCAGUGUAUUUAGCUCCCAGCUGCAUUUGCUAAUAAAAGGAAGAAUGACAAGUUCCUUCCUUCACAGAGGAGGAAGUGGAGAAGCAUAAGGAAAUAAUUCAUUGCAUGUACAUAGCACCUGCAAUCAGCAAUCUAUGUAGGCACUUUACCAAAAGUAAAGUACGCUGCCUUAUCUGGAAGAUGUUUUUGUUGUGAGAAACUGCUUUGUUCUCAAUCUCUUCGUUGAGGAAACUGAGUCACAGAGUAUUUGUUUGGUCUGAGAUUGUAAGUGAAGCUAAUCGAAAGCUAACCAGGUGCUGAAGUUUGGAACACUCGUCAGUACUUCCAACACCUAUGACAACUCCGGGAUUGUGACCAUUGAGACAGACAAGCCUUUGCUGUGGACAAUGGCUAUCAAAAGAUGAACUACAGCUGCCUUUUCUGAUCUGACUCAGCUUUCACUGAAUUAAGACAGUAAAGCUGUUAGGAAAGACAUAAACAGGCACUGAUUUUAUGUACUGAAUGGAAAACAAGUCUGAAAUAAAAGUCAUUUGAGAUCAAA
RNA transcript from Columba livia (rock pigeon), 12735 nucleotides. It is a transcript of the gene named thiamin pyrophosphokinase 1, with no coding region annotated. The record is from RefSeq and is a predicted model, not a curated record. The transcript is spliced from 10 exons. NCBI's taxonomy places the organism in Eukaryota, Metazoa, Chordata, Aves, Columbiformes, Columbidae.